RNAcentral lists this long non-coding RNA (1046 nucleotides) under Corvus moneduloides (New Caledonian crow). Its description in RNAcentral is "lncRNA (ENSCMUG00000016992.1)". The record is from RNAcentral. Lineage: Eukaryota; Metazoa; Chordata; Aves; Passeriformes; Corvidae.
UUGGGGUGGGAAUAGGAGGGAAUUUGAACAGAAAUGGAGUAAAUUGGGACGAACUUGGGGGGAAAAAAAAGGAGAAACCGAGGGAAAUGAGGGGCAAAAGGAGGGGAUCUGUGAGGGAUUUGUGGGGGAUUUUGGGGUGGGAAUAAGAAGUAUUUGAACAGAAAUGAAGUAAAUUGGGACGAACUUGGGGAAAAAAAAAGAGGGCAAACCGAGAGAAUUUGGGGGGCCAAAAAGAAAGGAUUUGGGGCCGAAAAGGGGGUGGCAUUUGGGGCUGGCCUUUGUAGGGGAUUCCCAAGGGCAAAGCAGAGCUGCCUUUUUCACCUCCAGCACCAUCCCCUGCCCUCCUCCCUCACCGUGGCCACCUCCCUUUGUCCCCUGGCCAGGACAUGUUCGGCUUUUUCGGCAGCCUGGACACCAAAGGCACCAACUACAAGUACGAGGUGCCGCUGGCAGGGCCUGCGCUGGAGCUGCACAACUGCAUGGCCAAGCUGCUGGCGCAUCCCCUGCAGCGGCCCUGCCAGAGCCACGCCGCCUACGGGCUGCUGGACGGCGCCGACAGCCCCGACAGCGAGGCCACCGUGUGAGGGGCCAGCGCUAGCCCAGCCCCGCUGGCCACCCGGGGAUGCCCGGGGAUGCGGAGGGGACGGGGGGAGAGAGAGAGAGGGAGGAGAUGGGGGGGGGCGGGGUUGGGGUCAGUGCUUGUGGUCCUGGGUCACCUCUUGUGGUCCUGGGUCACCUCUUGUGGUCCUGGGUCACCUCUUGUGGUCAUUUGUUUCCUCUCGUGGCCCUUUGUCACUUCUGCUGGCCCUGUGUCCCCUCUCGUGGUCCUUUGUCACCUCUCCUGGUCCUGUGUCCCCUCUCGUGGUCUUUUGUCCCCUCUCCUGGUCCUUUGUCCCCUCUUGUGGUCAUUUGUCCCCUCUCCUGGCCCUGUGUCCCCUCUCCCGGCCCUGUGUCCCCUCUUGUGGUCCUUUCUCACCUCUCGUGGCCCUGUGUCCCCUCUUGUGGUCCUUUGUCCCCUCUCCUGGCCCUUCAUCCCCUCCUCCCAU